RNAcentral lists this ribosomal RNA (253 nucleotides) under uncultured bacterium. Its description in RNAcentral is "partial 16S ribosomal RNA". It matches the Rfam family "Bacterial small subunit ribosomal RNA", at positions 524 to 776 of the family's 1533-position model. The record is from RNAcentral.
UACGGAGGGUGCAAGCGUUGUUCGGAAUUACUGGGCGUAAAGCGCGUGUAGGCGGUCGAGCAAGUCAGAUGUGAAAGCCUUCCGCUUAACGGAAGAAGUGCAUUUGAAACUACUCGGCUGGAGUACGGGAGAGGAGAGUGGAAGUCCCGGUGUAGAGGUGAAAUUCGUAGAUAUCGGGAGGAACACCAGUGGCGAAAGCGUCUCUCUGGCCCGAUACUGACGCUGAUACGCGAAAGCGUGGGGAGCAAACAGG